AGCGACUACAACGGGUGGAGCCUGCGGUUUAAUUGGAUUCAACGCCGGAAAUCUCACCGGGGGCGACAGCAAUAUGAAGGUCAGGCUGAAGACCUUACCCGAUUAGCUGAGAGGUGGUGCAUGGCCGUCGUCAGUUCGUACUGUGAAGCAUCCUGUUAAGUCAGGCAACGAGCGAGACCCACGUCCACAGUUGCCAGCAUACCCUCCGGGGUGAUGGGUACACUGUGGAGACCGCCGCUGCUAAAGCGGAGGAAGGAGUGGGCAACGGUAGGUCAGUAUGCCCCGAAUCUCCCGGGCUACACGCGGGCUACAAUGGUUGGUACAAUGGGCAUCUACCCCGAAAGGGGAAGGAAAUCUCUUAAAGCCAAUCGUAGUUCGGAUUGAGGGCUGCAACUCGCCCUCAUGAAGCUGGAAUCCGUAGUAAUCGCGUUUCAACAGAACGCGGUGAAUACGUCCCUGCUCCUU
RNAcentral lists this ribosomal RNA (465 nucleotides) under uncultured Methanosaeta sp. RNAcentral's name for it is "bacterial SSU rRNA". It matches the Rfam family "Archaeal small subunit ribosomal RNA", at positions 875 to 1338 of the family's 1478-position model. Lineage: Archaea; Methanobacteriati; Methanobacteriota; Methanomicrobia; Methanotrichales; Methanotrichaceae. The record is from RNAcentral.